This 546-nucleotide ribosomal RNA is filed under the name uncultured Bifidobacterium sp. RNAcentral describes it as "bacterial SSU rRNA". It matches the Rfam family "Bacterial small subunit ribosomal RNA", at positions 67 to 617 of the family's 1533-position model. The record is from RNAcentral. Lineage: Bacteria; Bacillati; Actinomycetota; Actinomycetes; Bifidobacteriales; Bifidobacteriaceae.
CGGUACCCUGGCGCUUGCGCCGGGGUGAGAGUGGCAACGGGGUGAGUAAUGCGUGACCAACCUGCCCCAUGCACCGGAAUAGCUCCUGGAAACGGGUGGUAAUGCCGGAUGCUCCAGAUGACCGCAUGGGAUUCUGGGAAAGCUUUUGCGGCAUGGGAUGGGGUCGCGUCCUAUCAGCUUGUUGGUGGGGUGAUGGCCCACCAAGGCUUCGACGGGUAGCCGGCCUGAGAGGGCGACCGGCCACAUUGGGACUGAGAUACGGCCCAGACUCCUACGGGAGGCAGCAGUGGGGAAUAUUCCGCAAUGGGCGAAAGCCUGACGGAGCAGGACCGCGUGGGGGAAGAAGGCUCUUGGGUUGUAAACCCCUUUUCUCUGGGAAGAAAGUUGUGAAAGCAACCUGACGGUACCAGAGGAAUCAGCAUCGGCUAACUCCGUGCCAGCAGCCGCGGUAAGACGGAGGAUGCAAGCGUUAUCCGGAAUGAUUGGGCGUAAAGCGUCCGCAGGUGGCAGUUCAAGUCUGCUGUCAAAGACCGGGGCUUAACUUCG